GGCGUGUACUGCUUGGCUGGGCCUUACUUCUUGGUGAGCCGGCGUGCCCUUUAUUGGUGUGCGUCGGGGAACCAGGACUUUUACCUUGAGAAAAUUAGAGUGUUCAAAGCAGGCCUAUGCCUGAAUACAUUAGCAUGGAAUAAUAGAAUAGGACGUGCGGUUCUAUUUUGUUGGUUUCUAGAGUCGCCGUAAUGAUUAAUAGGGACAGUUGGGGGCAUUGGUAUUGAGUCGCUAGAGGUGAAAUUCUUGGAUUGACUCAAGACCGACUAUUGCGAAAGCAUUUGCCAAGGAUGUUUUCAUUAAUCAAGAACGAAGGUUAGGGGAUCGAAAACGAUCAGAUACCGUUGUAGUCUUAACAGUAAACUAUGCCGACUAGGGAUCGGAUGACCUCAAAAUUGAUGUGUCAUUCGGCACCUUACGAGAAAUCAAAAGUCUUUGGGUUCUGGGGGGAGUAUGGUCGCAAGGGCUGAAACUUAAAGGAAUUGACGGAAGGGCACCACCAGGUGUGGAGCCUGCGGCUUAAUUUGACUCAACACGGGGAAACUCACCAGGUCCAGACAUAACUAGGAUUGACAGAUUGAUAGCUCUUUCAUGAUUUUAUGGGUGGUGGUGCAUGGCCGUUCUUAGUUGGUGGAGUGAUUUGUCUGGUUAAUUCCGAUAACGAACGAGACCUUAACCUGCUAAAUAGCCAGGCCGGCUUCGGCUGGUCUCUGGCUUCUUAGAGGGACUGUCAG
Molecule: ribosomal RNA, 734 nt
Filed under: uncultured eukaryote
Lineage: Eukaryota
Description: SSU rRNA
Rfam family: Eukaryotic small subunit ribosomal RNA
Source: RNAcentral